RNAcentral lists this ribosomal RNA (468 nucleotides) under uncultured bacterium. RNAcentral describes it as "partial 16S ribosomal RNA". It matches the Rfam family "Bacterial small subunit ribosomal RNA", at positions 28 to 507 of the family's 1533-position model. The record is from RNAcentral.
GACGAACGCUGGCGGCGUGCUUAACACAUGCAAGUCGAACGGAAAGGCCCUGCUUUUGUGGGGUGCUCGAGUGGCGAACGGGUGAGUAACACGUGAGUAACCUGCCCUUGACUUUGGGAUAACUUCAGGAAACUGGGGCUAAUACCGGAUAGGAGCUCCUGCUGCAUGGUGGGGGUUGGAAAGUUUCGGCGGUUGGGGAUGGACUCGCGGCUUAUCAGCUUGUUGGUGGGGUAGUGGCUUACCAAGGCUUUGACGGGUAGCCGGCCUGAGAGGGUGACCGGCCACAUUGGGACUGAGAUACGGCCCAGACUCCUACAGGAGGCAGCAGUGGGGAAUAUUGCACAAUGGGCGGAAGCCUGAUGUAGCAACGCCGCGUGCGGGAUGACGGCCUUCGGGUUGUAAACCGCUUUCGCCUGUGACGAAGCGUGAGUGACGGUAAUGGGUAAAGAAGCACCGGCUAACUACGUG